AGAGUUUGAUCAUGGCUCAGGAUUAACGCUGGCGGUAUGCCUAACACAUGCAAGUCGAACGGAAUGCUAAUUAAGAGAAUCUCACACUAGUGAGAGGUUCUCACGAGUAGUAUUUAGUGGCGGACGGGUGAGUAACACGUUGGAACCUGCCCCGAAGUGGGGAAUAACUGCUCGAAAGAGUAGCUAAUACCCCAUAGUAUCCGGUUUAUCCGGAUUAAAGAUUUAUCGCUUCGGGAGGGGCCUGCGUCUGAUUAGCUAGUUGGUGAGGUAAAAGCUCACCAAGGCGACGAUCAGUAGCUGGUUCGAGAGGAUGACCAGCCACACUGGGACUGAGAUACGGCCCAGACUCCUACGGGAGGCAGCAGUGAGGAAUCUUCCACAAUGGGCGCAAGCCUGAUGGAGCAAUACCGCGUGCAGGAAGACGCUUUUCGGAGUGUAAACUGCUUUUGUCGUCGAAGAUUAUGACUGUAGACGAAGAAUAAGGACCGGCUAACUACGUG
Molecule: ribosomal RNA, 500 nt
Filed under: uncultured bacterium
Lineage: Bacteria
Description: bacterial SSU rRNA
Rfam family: Bacterial small subunit ribosomal RNA
Source: RNAcentral